UGAAUACGAGACGCUAAGGCGUCGAAGUAGUGUAUGUCAUACUUCCAAGAAAAGCUUGCACUGUCAUAGAUAAAAAACGCCUGUACCAUAACCGACACAGGUGGGUAGGUAGAGCAUACUAAGGGGCGCGAGAUAACUCUCUCUAAGGAACUCGGCAAAAUAACUCCGUAACUUCGGGAGAAGGAGUGCCUUAUUAUUAAGGCUGCAAUAACAAGAUCCAAGCAACUGUUUAUCAAAAACACAGGUCUCCGCUAAGUCGUAAGACGAUGUAUGGGGGCUGACGCCUGCCCAGUGCCAGAAGGUUAAAGAAGUUGGUUAGCAUUUGCGAAGCUGAUAACUGAAGCCCUGGUGAACGGCGGCCGUAACAAUAACGGUCCUAAGGUAGCGAAAUUCCUUGUCGGGUAAGUUCCGACCCGCACGAAAGGCGUAAUGAUUUGGAUACUGUCUCGGAGAGGGGCUCGGUGAAAUAGACUUGUCUGUGAAGAUGCGGACUACCUGCACCAGGACAGAAAGACCCUAUGAAGCUUUACUGUAACUUGAAAUUGAAAUUGGACUUUAUUCGCGCAGCAUAGGUGGGAGGCGUUGAUUAUAAUCUUGUGGGAUUAUUGGAGCCAUCAGUGAGAUACCACUCUUGUAAUGUUAGAUUUCUAACUUUGAAUCAUUAUCUGGUCAAAGAACAGUUUCAGGCGGGCAGUUUGACUGGGGCGGUCGCCUCCUAAACGGUAACGGAGGCGUACAAAGGUUUCCUCUGAACGGUUAGAAAUCGUAUCUAGAGUGUAAAGGCAUAAGGAAGCUUGACUGUGAGACCUACAAGUCGAGCAGGGACGAAAGUCGGUCUUAGUGAUCUGACGGUACUGAGUGGAAAGGCCGUCACUCAACGGAUAAAAGUUACUCUAGGAUAACAGGCUGAUCUCCCCCAAGAGUUCACAUCGACGGGGAGGUUUGGCACCUCGAUGUCGGCUCAUCGCAUCCUGGGGCGGUAGUACGUCCCAAGGGUUGGGCUGUUCGCCCAUGAAAGCGGUACGCGAGCUGGGUUCAGAACGUCGUGAGACAGUUCGGUCCAUAUCCGGUGUAGGCGUUAGAAUAUUGAGAGGAGCCUUCUUUAGUACGAGAGGACCGAGAAGGACAUACCUCUGGUGUACCAGUUAUCGUGCCAACGGUAAACGCUGGGUAGCUAUGUAUGGAGUGGAUAACCGCUGAAAGCAUCUAAGUGGGAAGCCCACCUCAAGAUAAG
RNAcentral lists this ribosomal RNA (1234 nucleotides) under metagenome. RNAcentral describes it as "bacterial LSU rRNA". It matches the Rfam family "Bacterial large subunit ribosomal RNA", at positions 1564 to 2808 of the family's 2925-position model. The record is from RNAcentral.